GGAGGUGGGAGCGCUCUCCAGGUGUGACUCCAACCAACCAAGGCCCAAGUACUCCACGCCGUCGAGGAGAGUCAGAGCAGGGUUCGAACUUGAGACCUUCUGCUUGCGCGGCAGGCACCAGAACCACUGACAUAAAUCCCUGGCCCCAGAUAGGAUUUGUUGACGGACUGCAUGUAAGCUAAGAGGAAGAGGAGUCAAUAAUGUGUACAAUACUAAAAAAAAUAGAAGACAACCGUGUACAAGAGCAUUCUGCUCACCCGUGUGUGGUGCUCUAGCUGCCACUGGACCACGGUGAAAGAAGAUGAGGUGGGAAUCCCUUGGAGGAAAAAGAACUCUCACCGUCAAAGGAAAUUCUGCAAGGAGCUUUACACUCUCAGAGCCAAGGAGGGAUGUAAACGCUCACACCAGACCUGGGAAACACCUCAUCUGCAACUCCCUGGCACAGUGAGCUUGCUCAGCUGGUCUCAGGGGAGCCUACCAGGGCUGUGGGCUUGGAGUCUUAGGAGCUGGGUUCCCUCCUCCAGUCACCUCGCCAGUCUGUGUGUGUUGGUUUUUGUUUUGGUACCGGGGAUUGAACUCAGGACCUUGCGCUUGCGAGGCAGGCGCCGGAACCACUGAGCUAAAUCCCCGGCCCUACCUUGCUAAUCUGAAGCUUGGGAUCCUCCUUGCAAGUGGGGAUAUCAGUAUUUUCCCCUUUCCAGGAUUGAUGCGACAGCCAAGUGAGCAAUGGAUGGAAUGAUAGUUUAUUAGCCGUUAGUCACUCUCCAAAAUAAAAGUUUAUUCUGAAC
Molecule: long non-coding RNA, 788 nt
Filed under: Heterocephalus glaber (naked mole-rat)
Lineage: Eukaryota; Metazoa; Chordata; Mammalia; Rodentia; Bathyergidae
Description: lncRNA (ENSHGLG00000043928.1)
Source: RNAcentral